UGAGAUCUGGUGAGAGCUAGAGUGAAUGUUUGCAACAGUUUGAAAACUUACCUAGAAGUCGCUACUGUGAAAUAUACAACACCCAGGAUCCUCUGGGACUUUUCCAUACCUUGUGGGCCAUAUAUGAAGAGGCGACAUGACAGGGCAGCAGGGAGCUUCGUUAAGACUUUUCUAGUCUUGCCAGAGAACCUGAUUGUACCUCAACACAGG
RNAcentral lists this long non-coding RNA (210 nucleotides) under Fukomys damarensis (Damara mole-rat). Its description in RNAcentral is "lncRNA (ENSFDAG00000032079.1)". Lineage: Eukaryota; Metazoa; Chordata; Mammalia; Rodentia; Bathyergidae. The record is from RNAcentral.